CCUGUUGUAGUAACCAACCGCAUGCCGGCUUGCCAGCCAUUACUUCACUGCAGCAGCAAUCAGCCUUUUCGUAUUUAGUGAGCCAGACACACUAACCUGUCUGUCCCCUCCUCUUUUCUCUCUCACUCUCUCUGCAUAUUCAGCAGAGCUGCCUUCCUCUCGUCCUCAUCACUCUGCCACUCCUGCGGCGUUGCUCUUUGCUUGAAGGGGACACUGGCCUGCUCCUCACCCACUGAUUCUGCAUGACUGUCACAAAGAUGUCAUGGCGUCCAACCUACCGAAGCUCCAAGUUUCGAAAUGUCUACGGAAAAGUAGGCAACCGGGAGCACUGCUUCGACGGUAUCCCCAUCACCAAGAACGUCCAUGACAACCACUUCUGUGCCGUCAACUCCAAGUUCCUGGCAGUCGUCACGGAGAGUUCCGGCGGGGGCUCCUUCAUUGUUAUACCUGUGCCCCAGUCCGGCCGCCUGGACUCUCAUUACCCAAAAGUGUGUGGCCACCAAGGCAAUGUGCUGGAUAUCAAGUGGAAUCCCUUCUUUGAAAACAUCGUAGCAUCUUGCUCCGAGGACACCUCGGUGCGAGUAUGGGAGAUCCCAGAGGGCGGUCUGAGGCACAACAUGACGGAGGCAGUGCUGGAGCUGUAUGGCCACAGCAGACGGGUGGGUGUGAUCGAGUGGCACCCCACCAGCAGCGGCAUCCUCUUCAGCGCUGGCUACGACUACAAGAUCCUGAUCUGGAACCUGGAGAUCGGAGAGCCGGUGAAAAUGAUUGACUGCCACACUGACGUCAUCCUCAGCAUGUCCUUCAACACAGACGGUAGCCUGCUGGCCACCAGCUGCAAAGACAAGAAGCUGCGUGUCAUUGAGCCGCGCUCCGGGACCGUCCUUCAGCAAGCCAGUUAUAAGAACCACCGCGUGAACCGAGUGGUGUUCCUGGGCAACAUGAAGCGACUGCUCACCACAGGGGUGUCGCGCUGGAACACCCGGCAGAUCGCUCUCUGGGAUCAGGAGGAUUUGUCCAUGCCAAUUGUGGAGGAGGACAUAGACGGCCUCUCAGGACUGUUGUUUCCCUUCUAUGAUGCUGACACACACAUGUUGUACCUGGCAGGCAAGGGGGACGGCAACAUCCGUUACUUUGAGAUUACCACAGAGAAGCCGUACUUACAAUACCUAAUGGAGUUCCGGUCCCCGGCCCCACAGAAAGGACUCGGUGUGAUGCCAAAGCACGGGCUGAAUGUGGGAGCUUGCGAGGUGUACCGCUUCUACAAGCUCGUCACCCUGAAGGGUUUGAUCGAACCCAUUUCAAUGAUUGUGCCGAGAAGAUCGGACACAUACCAGGAGGACAUCUACCCCAUGACGGCAGGAACUGAACCUGCGCUGUCUGCAAGUGAAUGGCUGAGUGGCAUUAAUAGAGACCCAGUCUUGAUAUCCCUGAAGGAGGGUUACCAGCGGCCACACCAAUUAGUGUUCAAGGCACCAGUGAAGGAAAAGAAGAGUGUCGUAGUGAAUGGGAUUGACCUGCUGGAGAACAUACCACCCAGGACAGAGAACGAGCUCCUGCGGGUGUUCUUCCGGCAGCAGGAUGAAUUGCGGCGGCUGAAGGAGGAGCUGACCACCAAGGAUGUGCGAAUACGCCAGCUGGAGCUGGAGCUCAACAACCUGAAGAACGUUAGCCCCAACAACGUCUGACCUCUCAACCUCGUGGACUGGCAAAGCUGCUUCCUUUGCCGCCAACUCUGACCUCCAACAAGCUUCUGAGCCCUCCUACGCCUCUUUUUUGAUAUAUCAUAACUUCAUUCCUGCUGCCCUGUAUAGUGCACACAAUAAUAUGAUAUGUGUUGGAUAAUGUCUUACCUGGUGAAAUUACUGGAAUAUUGUAAUAAUGACAAAUAUGAUCAGUAAUGGAGACAAGGCAGUGUUCAUGGAUUUCCACCUUAACAUAAGAUUGUUGAUGGAAGGUUUGUGAUUCAAUCCAUUUAGUUAUUGUAUAUGUUUGUACAACUUAUUCUUGAUCUAGCACACUCAAGUGUUGUGAUCAGUUAAUGCAUAUUUUCUGCCAGACCUCCUGAGUGUCUCACUGUGCCUACCUGUCAACCACGUUGCAAUACCUUGAUCACCACGCAAAAAGGAACCUACACUCAUCCUCCGAUAAUGAUCAAACCACCAUCUAAAAACUGGAAGAAAAGACUGUCACAGUGGCUCCUAUUUUCCUUCUAAAAGGCCUUACACCCUGCUGCAGACACAGUUUGCAGCGAGCUGCAGAAUAAUCUCAAAAUGGCUGACACGUGAAGUAUUUUUGCACCUGACUGACAGUGGAUCAUGUUUUUCCCAGAGCUGCUUAUCCCGUUGCUUUUUUCUCACCGACAGAUGUUGCUGGCUAUGAAUUCACAUCACAAUACUGACAUAUAGCUACCCAAAAGCAGUCUUUCUUCCCAAGGAGAGUGGAUAGUUCACUCACUUUUAGUAUUUUAUUCUUUAUUUCAAUAGUGAGAAACUCCAAUAUAGUCUCAAGGGAAGCUUUGCUGGCUGUUGUUUUGAGGAGGGGAGGGGUAAUGUACAUUUGCUUAUUAUUUAUUUGUCACUUGUUAUUGUUUUAGCUAAUAACAUGUAUAUUUGUUAAUCCCAUUGUUUUUGUAUGAUGUGGCUGCACAAGUAAUGAUUGUGAUGCUUGUUAGAGUUUGCUGAAUGUUUCUGGUUGAAAUGGUGCAAGAUUUAUGUGAAACUGUACCUUUUAUAUGGUAUUAGUUCUUUGACUCCAACAACAUAACUUCAGAUAAGGUAUACAAAUAUAAUCUUGCCUUUUCCUAAACAGUGCAGAAAACUUUAAUAAUAACUGUCCUUUUAAACUAAGUAUAUCACCAUUAGUGAGUGAGAUGUGCUUAACUGUAGAUGUGUCAUUUUGCUCUAGAGACUCCAGGUCAUCUGCAUAUCCUUCUCCCAGGUUCCAUCAACAGAUUUAGGCUAAGUAGCAGUUUAUAUGUGUUUGUUUUAACAAUUAACAGUUUUUUCCUUUAGUCUAAAAUUCAAGGGAAAUGGGCACUGGAUUAAUAUUUGAUUGGCUUUAUUAUGCCAGUGAGGUUCAAGCCGGUAACAAGUUCUGCUAAACAUGCCAUGUGUCUUUUAAUCCAGGCCCGAUCACAUUCAGCCUUGAUGUAUUACCGAUUCUGCUCGGAACGGACUUAGAAAAGGAAAAAGAUUAAUCGGCUGCAUGCAUAGGAAAAAUGUCAAAAGAAAAAUAGAAAGCUACAGUGAAAGUAGGCAGUGGGAAAAGGAACUACCAGAGACAGACCACCUACAGUGGAGAGGCAGGUGAAGAUAGACUGGAGCUGUGUAACGUCAGGGCUUCUCGUGUACGUGAACUGAGAACUACUACUUGAUAAAUCUUUGAGAAGACAGAAUAACAAGAUAGAAAGGUUUUUUAAAUGAUUAAAAACUCCUUGUACAGAUAUUGAAUGGCAUUUUGGCUUUGACAAGUGUUACCAUGACAGUUCCACCAAAGUUGUUUGGCACCGAACUUGAUUAAAGUUUUAGACAUCAAAGUACACCCCAGUUUAAAAUUGCUUAGCUUGAUCUUGGAUUGUAAGUCUUGUUCAAUAGUGUAAACUGUAUUACAUCUCAGUGGUUCCCCAUCAUCAUUAAUAAUUGAUGACCUGAAACUGGAAUCCUGUUCAACACUUUAACAUUUGACUGGACAAUGUUGCACAAGGACCACAAACGCAAAAACAUAUAUAAAAGGGAUUUAUUGAAGUGAAUGGGAGGGAAAAGAAACAAUUUGGCUGAUGACAGUGGAUUUAACAUGGAGUGAAAAAUCACUGAGGUAGGCCAAUUUGACCAGUACGUAUAAUAGUGAAAACAAAGUCCAAAUAACUGACUGUUUUCCAGAGUUUACACUUUGAAACAAUACAUUUUCGAUGCACAUAAGUUGCAGUUGUAACCUCAUGUAUUUCUCUACACUACCACCACAAAUUCAAACAUUGCCACCUGUGUGUCACAGAAAGAAAACAUGGGAAAAGCAAUAAUGAGUUUUGAUGUUGAACAUUUCUCUUUAUGGAAAGAUUACGCAUACAAAGUUAUGUUCAAAUUCAAGAAAUUUCACACUGCGUAUUUUAGAUAAAAGCAGCAUACAUAUUUAAUAUCUUAUUACAAGUCAAAGUUUCACCUCAGAUGUCUGUUCAAUGUCUGCCAUCAUCAAAGAGAAUACAAAAAAAUAGAUUUGGUCAUUAUUUACAAGAACACGUAAUUUCCGAACUAUCAAAGCUGAGGGUUUAAGGAGGAGGAGCGGCUUUGACAAGGGCAGACAUUUUUUUGCUAGGAUUUAAAAAUAUGCCCUGUGAGGGUCACACUGUGCAUGUUCAGACAGAAGUUUCACACCAGGACAGCAGAGAGUAUUGGCAUACUGGUGACACUACAAAUACAUAACUUACAUAAACAAAAAGUUCAAUGCAAAAAUAAAGUUUAAGACGAAGAGAGGACAGCCAUACAUGAAAUCCAGUAGUUGACUUUAUAAUGUAUUAUACAUGCACUCUUUUUGUUUAAUUUUGGGUUUUUUUCUUUUGAAGGGGG
This is an RNA transcript of Cottoperca gobio, 4562 nucleotides long. It is a transcript of the gene named coronin, actin binding protein, 2Ba, with no coding region annotated. The transcript is spliced from 13 exons. The record is from RefSeq and is a predicted model, not a curated record. NCBI's taxonomy places the organism in Eukaryota, Metazoa, Chordata, Actinopteri, Perciformes, Bovichtidae.